Molecule: ribosomal RNA, 398 nt
Filed under: uncultured bacterium
Lineage: Bacteria
Description: bacterial SSU rRNA
Rfam family: Bacterial small subunit ribosomal RNA
Source: RNAcentral
AUUAAACGCUGGCGGCAUGCCUUACACAUGCAAGUCGAACGGCAGCACGGGGGCAACCCUGGUGGCGAGUGGCGGACGGGUGAGUAAAGCAUCGGAACGUAUCCUGGAGUGGGGGGAUAACGUAGCGAAAGUUACGCUAAUACCGCAUAUUCUGUGAGCAGGAAAGCAGGGGAUCGCAAGACCUUGCGCUCUGGGAGCGGCCGAUGUCGGAUUAGCUAGUUGGUGGGGUAAAGGCCUACCAAGGCGACGAUCCGUAGCGGGUCUGAGAGGAUGAUCCGCCACACUGGGACUGAGACACGGCCCAGACUCCUACGGGAGGCUGCAGUGGGGAAUUUUGGACAAUGGGCGCAAGCCUGAUCCAGCCAUGCCGCGUGAGUGAAGAAGGCCUCGGUUGUAAG